Molecule: unclassified non-coding RNA, 222 nt
Filed under: uncultured Piskurozyma
Lineage: Eukaryota; Fungi; Basidiomycota; Tremellomycetes; Filobasidiales; Piskurozymaceae
Description: sequence contains ITS2
Source: RNAcentral
AACUUAUCAACCGUGACUUGGGUUUAGGCCCCUGGCUCGGCUUGGAUUUGGGUGCUUGCGGUCCGCCGCUCACCUCAAAAGGAUUAGCUGGACAUGUCGUGAGACUUGGUUCUACUUGGCGUAAUAAGUAUUUCGCUGAGGACAUCCCCUCGUGGGGUGGCCAUGACUCUGGUACAAACGUCUGCUUUCUAACCCGAUCGUCCUCGGACAUCACUUUUUAUG